RNAcentral lists this ribosomal RNA (253 nucleotides) under uncultured bacterium. RNAcentral's name for it is "partial 16S ribosomal RNA". It matches the Rfam family "Bacterial small subunit ribosomal RNA", at positions 524 to 776 of the family's 1533-position model. The record is from RNAcentral.
UACGUAGGGUGCGAGCGUUGUCCGGAAUUACUGGGCGUAAAGAGCUCGUAGGUGGUUUGUCGCGUUGUUCGUGAAAACUCACAACUCAAUUGUGGGCGUGCGGGCGAUACGGGCAGACUGGAGUACUGCAGGGGAGACUGGAAUUCCUGGUGUAGCGGUGGAAUGCGCAGAUAUCAGGAGGAACACCGGUGGCGAAGGCGGGUCGCUGGGACGUGACUGACACUAAGGCGCGAAAGCGUGGGGAGCGAACAGG